AAAGCUACAGGGGUAGCUUUCCUGAAGAGUGCAAAAACUUCUUUAGCUUUCAAAAUGGUAUAUAGUACAAACAGUGAAGCUAAUAUAGACACAUCUGAUCAUUCAUCAUCAACAAUAACUGCAUCUGAGAAUUAUAGUUCUACAGUAACCGUGGAGUCUAGGUCAACAAUUACUAUUUCUCAUCCAAGCCGUUUUUGUUUAACUGCUACACAUUCCCUGACUCUGCCAAGGAAAAGGGUAAAAUCAAAAUGAUAUCCUGAGGACCUAAGCACUGAUGAUUCCACCGUUUCAAGAGCUUAAUCACUUGUCACCAGAUUAUGGAAAAAAAAUAAAAAACAAAAAAUUAAAAUUCGAAGAUUGCAACAAGCAAAUUUGCGCCAAAGAAAUUAAAUUAGAUGUCUCAAGUCAUUAUUAAAAUACUUACAUGAAAUAAUAACAUGAUUUUAUGGAAAAGCCCAACAUACUACAUAUUUUAUUUG
This is a long non-coding RNA of Anthonomus grandis grandis, 479 nucleotides long. RefSeq lists it as uncharacterized. NCBI's taxonomy places the organism in Eukaryota, Metazoa, Arthropoda, Insecta, Coleoptera, Curculionidae. The transcript is spliced from 3 exons. The record is from RefSeq and is a predicted model, not a curated record.